RNAcentral lists this ribosomal RNA (333 nucleotides) under uncultured bacterium. Its description in RNAcentral is "partial 16S ribosomal RNA". It matches the Rfam family "Bacterial small subunit ribosomal RNA", at positions 1014 to 1312 of the family's 1533-position model. The record is from RNAcentral.
UGCGGGCGAGCGGAUAAAGACAGGGUGGUGCAUGGUCUGUCUGUCUAGCUCUGUGUGCGUGAGUAUGGNGUGGUUUAACUCCACGCAAGCGACGCAGCAACCCCUUAUGUUAUUAGUNUCCCACGCAUUAGAGUUGGCACUCUAAUGAGACUGCCGGUGACAACACCGGAGGAAGGUGGGGAUAGACUGUCCAAAUCAUCAUGCCCCUUAUGACCAUGGGCUACACACGUGUACAAUGGCCUAGAUACAAACGGGAACGCGAAGCCCUGCGAGAGGGCGAAGCGAAUCCUCUGAAAUCUGGUUCUCAGUUCGGACUUGUCAGUGCGUGCAAAU